UGUAGUCAUUUUCUGGGAGAGGAGAGAAUAGGAUGUAAGAUCUCAUGAAGCAGAAUAAGUCCUGAGUUUCUAGACCUAGAAAAAGGGUAAAUCCUACAGAAGUUGUGAGAAAAGAAAAUCUAUCUGGACUAUUUAGGAAUAAAUCUGGGGAAACAGCAGCAAGGGGUAGGAUGGUGCAGAUCUUGAGUGCUUGUUAUAGGGUUCCUGGCCUCUAAUCUAGUGUAGAGGGUAGGCCUGGCUUCCCCUAAUAGCCAGUGAGAAGUGAUACAAGAGUGGAGAUGCCAAAUGGACAGCUGCUCUGGAGAGAUUUUGUUACUCAAAGGCAUUUAAUAUACUUAGAUGCCACUGAACGAUGAAGGAACAAAGCAAGAAGCUGGAGAUGUUUCCAGAAUACCAUAGUAAAGAGCUGAGUGAUCUAUCUUUUGUUUAAAAUUUACAGGAGUGCCCAGAGGCAUCAAUCAAGACUGAAGCCCUGUUAGGUGCAUAGGAAAACACACUCCCAAACCCUAGAGAUCUUACAGUCAAAGAUCAAGAUUUAGAGUUUAACUGAAUUUAAGAUUAAGAUAAUAA
Molecule: long non-coding RNA, 570 nt
Organism: Dermochelys coriacea (leatherback sea turtle)
Lineage: Eukaryota; Metazoa; Chordata; Testudines; Dermochelyidae
Exons: 3
Source: RefSeq, a predicted model, not a curated record